Molecule: small nuclear RNA, 163 nt
Organism: Phyllostomus discolor (pale spear-nosed bat)
Lineage: Eukaryota; Metazoa; Chordata; Mammalia; Chiroptera; Phyllostomidae
Product: U1 spliceosomal RNA
Exons: 1
Source: RefSeq, a predicted model, not a curated record
AUACUACCUGGCGGGGGAGACACCGCGAUCACGAAGGAGGUUUUCCCAGGGCAAGGCUCACCCACUGCGCUCCGGUUGUGCCGAUCCCUGCGAUUUCCCCAAACGUGGGCAGCUCAACUGCAUGAUUUGUAGUAGUGGCGGACUGUGUUUGUGCUCUCCCCUG